Small nuclear RNA from Ochotona curzoniae (black-lipped pika), 104 nucleotides. Lineage: Eukaryota; Metazoa; Chordata; Mammalia; Lagomorpha; Ochotonidae. The record is from RefSeq and is a predicted model, not a curated record.
AUGCUCGGUUUAGCAGCACUUACACUGUAAUUGGGAUGAUACAGAGAUUAGAACGGCCCCUGUGCAGAGAUGACAUGUAAAUUCAUGAAGCCGUCCAUAAUUGU